This is an RNA transcript of Chelonia mydas (Green sea turtle), 2437 nucleotides long. It is a transcript of the gene named ADP ribosylation factor like GTPase 6 interacting protein 6, with no coding region annotated. Lineage: Eukaryota; Metazoa; Chordata; Testudines; Cheloniidae. The transcript is spliced from 5 exons. The record is from RefSeq and is a predicted model, not a curated record.
AGUUCCUGCUAGUCUCUCCUACCCGCCCCUCCGGGCGGUCGGGUUGGUAGGUGCCUCGUGACGCAGGAGAAGUAGGCGACAACUUGGGCAACCGCGCCUCGGGCUGACUCUGAGCCUGUGGCCGGUGCUUCGCGCCUCCCGGCCGGGCGACUCGCAGGCUGCGCCAUGUCGUUGGCUGUGGGCGACAGCGGGCGGCUGGGCAGGUUCAGCAGGCGGGGGGCGACCCCCGGGACGCCCUGGUUGGGGGGCGGAGUGGUGGCUCGGAGUCUGCAGGCCGAGCUGCUGUGGGAGGAGGAGGAGGCAGCGAGCGGUGUCUCUGUGUCCCAGGGCGGGGCCCCGUUGCCGCCGCUGUCUCACAAGCGGAAUGGCGUGUUGAUGGCUCCGCCGGGAGGGAAACGUUGGCCGGCCCGGGCCUGCUCGGUGCUGUGCUGCCUCCUGGCCGUCUCCGCCCUCGCCUUCCUCCUGGCCAUCGGUUGCCUCGUGCUCAAAGAUUUGCGCACUGAGAAAGAGAAGAAUGAAGAUGGUAUAGAAACUGGCUUGUUAGGAUUUUGGGGUCUGUUUGUUCUAGCCUUGAUGACAGGGCUCUCCUGCUGCAGCUUUUCUUGGACGGUGACUUAUUUUGAUUCCUUUGAACCAGGAAUGUUUCCUCCGACUCCACUUUCACCUGCACGAUUCAACUAGGCUCAGGGGACUGAUUAGAGGACAGGGCUAGCACCUAACCCCCAGUCUUGUGGUUCUGUUGUGGUGUAAGUAGCUUCUUUAGUUACUCCUCCGAACUCUUCUUCAGGAAUCAUAAGUUUGUUGCAAUAAUUGGGCCUACAGAUUUACCCAAACCGUGAGCUCAACUGUGUAAAAACAAAAAAGUGUAAAGUUUUAUAAACUUGUAAUAACCUAUAACCAAUGUUGAUGGGAUAACGUGCAAAAGAGAUUAAAUUAGUCCAAACAAAAAGGCCUACUGAUAUAAUUCAAGGAUUGUUAAGAUUAUGCCUAAUAAACAAGACCAUGAUGAGACCAGAAAUCAGUGAACUGAAAUCGGUAUGUGAGAAACUAGGCCUAAUUGGUGGACAAACCAGUGAGAGGACACCCAGUUCCGCCAUCCAUCCCUCCCUUUUGGGAUCUGUGAUGGGGUGGACUAGGCCCUGAGAUCCCCUGCUGGAGGCCUCGUGGCCCUGCCACACCAUGCCCCAGAAAAGGCCAGUUUCCUCCAAGUGGCCUAGAGUCGUGGCAUGGGAUGCGGCCAGUCAGAGAUGGGCUGCAGGGAGUAGCCCAACAGGCCCAUAUAAAAGGAGCUGCAGUGCAGAGCAGAGGUCAGUUGCUUGCUAAAGCUGGAGGGGUGUGGAUGGUGUCCCUGGUUGGCUGAGGGAGCUACAGGACCUCAGACAGAGCAGUCCUGGCAGAGUCUGGGGGUGGGAGGACGGGAUAGGAAGGAGUUCCAGGCUGGCUGCUGGGACUCAGCCAGGCCCAGACCCUGAGGUAAGGGUGAAGAAUGAGCUAGGUAAGUGGCCCAGGGAACUGUGGCAGCAGUGCGGCUUAGUUGAAGGGACACGACAGACGGCUUCUAUCUAUAGGGCCUAGGCUGGGACCUGGAGUAGAGGACGGGCCUGAGUUCACCCCACCAGCCACUGGGUGAAAGUGACCUGGACUUUGAUACAGCCCAGAAGUGGAACUGAACUCUUUUAGCGGCCCAGCUGAAGAGCUGGGGCUAGAAAGGCCCAAAGAAAUGAAGAAUCUCCAGGGAGGGAGCCUUGGGGGACAUGUCCCCAUACCAGGGCCAGGACUGUUCGAAGAGCAGGGACAAUUUGAGAGAGCCCAGAAGGGGAUAACAGACAGUUUGGACCAUGGUACUGCGAUAGGCCCUGCUGCACUGACUGAGGAGUGAGCCCAGGAAUAGGGCUGCAGGUAGAGGCAUUACUGAGGGCUUUGAGAUAGGCCUGGUUGGACUUGUAUCACGGAAAGGGUUUGAUUUUUAGCUCACAUACAGACUGUGUGUGACUCGGCAGGAGGGCUGGGUUGCUGAAGACUCACCACAAAGCAGAGAGAAAGUGCAGGCACAUCCAGUCGAACAAGGGGGUGCUUACAGGAGGUUUGUGGCACCCCAUUACCAGGUCCUUAAAGAGAGAUUUUUUUUGGAGAAAAGCUUUACCGGGAUGGCCAUCACCCCCACCGUCUUCUGGGACCCCAGGCCUUUGUCAUCCUGAUCCUAAGAGAUGUCCUGACAAGACUGGGCCAGAGAGAGUCCCCCAGAUGACAUCACCACCUCUGCUGGCUCGAGCUGAAUCCCAGCCACCACCUGGGAUGAGACUGACCGGGCAUUCCUUCCACAUGGGCUAUAGUAUGGCAAUACUGAACGGCAUUGUGGCAGCUCUCACCGUAGUAUGGUGCCUCAUUUGAAUCCUACGCUGGGUCGGUGGUGAUCUUCAACAGUUCAAGAUGCACA